GAUGAACGCUGGCGGCGUGCCUAAUACAUGCAAGUCGAGCGAACGGACGAGAAGCUUGCUUCUCUGAUGUUAGCGGCGGACGGGUGAGUAACACGUGGAUAACCUACCUAUAAGACUGGGUUAACUUCGGGAAACCGUAGCUAAUACCGGAUAAUAUUUUGAACCGCAUGGUUCAAAAGUGAAAGACGGUCUUGCUGUCACUUAUAGAUGGAUCCGCGCUGCAUUAGCUAGUUGGUAAGGUAACGGCUUACCAAGGCAACGAUGCAUAGCCGACCUGAGAGGGUGAUCGGCCACACUGGAACUGAGACACGGUCCAGACUCCUACGGGAGGCAGCAGUAGGGAAUCUUCCGCAAUGGGCGAAAGCCUGACGGAGCAACGCCGCGUGAGUGAUGAAGGUCUUCGGAUCGUAAAACUCUGUUAUUAGGGAAGAACAUAUGUGUAAGUAACUGUGCACAUCUUGACGGUACCUAAUCAGAAAGCCACGGCUAACUACGUG
This 497-nucleotide ribosomal RNA is filed under the name uncultured bacterium. Its description in RNAcentral is "partial 16S ribosomal RNA". It matches the Rfam family "Bacterial small subunit ribosomal RNA", at positions 28 to 507 of the family's 1533-position model. The record is from RNAcentral.